AUGAACGCUGGCGGCGUGCCUCAUACAUGCAAGUCGAGCGAACAGACGAGGAGCUUGCUCCUUUGACGUUAGCGGCGGACGGGUGAGUAACACGUAGGUAACCUACCUAUAAGACUGGGAUAACUUCGGGAAACCGGAGCUAAUACCGGAUAAUAUUUCGAACCGCAUGGUUCGAUAGUGAAAGAUGGCUUUGCUAUCACUUAUAGAUGGACCUGCGCCGUAUUAGCUAGUUGGUAAGGUAACGGCUUACCAAGGCAACGAUACGUAGCCGACCUGAGAGGCGGAUCGGCCACACUGGAACUGAGACACGGUCCAGACUCCUACGGGAGGCAGCAGUAGGGAAUCUUCCGCAAUGGGCGAAAGCCUGACGGAGCAACGCCGCGUGAGUGAUGAAGGUCUUCGGAUCGUAAAACUCUGUUAUUAGGGAAGAACAAACGUGUAAGUAACUGUGCACGUCUUGACGGUACCUAAUCAGAAAGCCACGGCUAACUACGUG
Molecule: ribosomal RNA, 496 nt
Filed under: uncultured bacterium
Lineage: Bacteria
Description: partial 16S ribosomal RNA
Rfam family: Bacterial small subunit ribosomal RNA
Source: RNAcentral